Molecule: ribosomal RNA, 324 nt
Filed under: uncultured eukaryote
Lineage: Eukaryota
Description: partial 18S ribosomal RNA
Rfam family: Eukaryotic small subunit ribosomal RNA
Source: RNAcentral
CCCUUAGACGUUCUGGGCCGCACGCGCGCUACACUGAUGCAUUCAACGAGUUUCUUCCUGGUCCGAGAGGAAUGGGUAACCUUUUGAAAGUGCAUCGUGAUAGGGAUAGACUAUUGCAAUUAUUGGUCUUCAACGAGGAAUUCCUAGUAGACGUAGUUCAUCAGACUGCAUCGAUUACGUCCCUGCCCUUUGUACACACCGCCCGUCGCUCCUACCGAUUGAAUGCUCAGGUGAGCCAUUCGGACUUUCAUCAUGCUGGUUUCCAGUUUUGAUGAAGGAAAGUCUUGCGAACCUUAUCAUUUAGAGGAAGGAGAAGUCGUAACA